GCUUACGGCCACACCGGCCUGAGUACGCGUGAUCUCGUCCGAUCUCGGAAGCUAAGCAGGGUCGGGCCUGGUUAGUACUUGGAUGGGAGACCGCCUGGGAAUACCAGGUGCUGUAAGCU
Oncorhynchus mykiss (rainbow trout) is the source of this 119-nucleotide ribosomal RNA. The record is from Ensembl. NCBI's taxonomy places the organism in Eukaryota, Metazoa, Chordata, Actinopteri, Salmoniformes, Salmonidae.